CAGCCAUGGUAUCAGAAAUCCAACUAUCCUAAAACCGCAAUGCUGUGGGGAAACCCAGCCUAGCCACAUGGAGAGGCUAUGUGGCCAUCCCAAGCUGUCCCAGCCAUUUCAGCCCAGGUGCCGUUCACAUUUGUAACUGGGGAUCCCCUGGAAGAAUCGUCUGGAAAUUACGACCUUCAUCUGGCGAUUGCAGCUGUUAAAGUCUCCAAAGAAGCCAUUCUUACAUUGUGUUGUGAAAUUAUUACUCUAUCUCAAAUCUGUGCCAGAAAGAAAAUAAAAUGUGUGUUUA
This 289-nucleotide long non-coding RNA is filed under the name Pan troglodytes (chimpanzee). Its description in RNAcentral is "long non-coding RNA NONPTRT011458". The record is from RNAcentral. Lineage: Eukaryota; Metazoa; Chordata; Mammalia; Primates; Hominidae.